AUUGAACGCUGGCGGCAUGCCUUACACAUGCAAGUCGAACGGCAGCACGGGAGCAAUCCUGGUGGCGAGUGGCGAACGGGUGAGUAAUACAUCGGAACGUGCCCAGUAGUGGGGGAUAACCCGGCGAAAGCCGGACUAAUACCGCAUACGACCUACGGGUGAAAGCGGGGGAUCGCAAGACCUCGCGCUAUCGGAGCGGCCGAUGUCAGAUUAGCUAGUUGGUGGGGUAAAGGCCUACCAAGGCGACGAUCUCUAGCUGGUCUGAGAGGACGACCAGCCACACUGGGACUGAGACACGGCCCAGACUCCUACGGGAGGCAGCAGUGGGGAAUUUUGGACAAUGGGCGCAAGCCUGAUCCAGCCAUGCCGCGUGCGGGAAGAAGGCCUUCGGGUUGUAAACCGCUUUUGUCAGGGAAGAAACGCUCCGGGCUAAUACCACGGAGUAAUGACGGUACCUGAAGAAUAAGCACCGGCUAACUACGUG
This 484-nucleotide ribosomal RNA is filed under the name uncultured bacterium. RNAcentral's name for it is "partial 16S ribosomal RNA". It matches the Rfam family "Bacterial small subunit ribosomal RNA", at positions 29 to 507 of the family's 1533-position model. The record is from RNAcentral.